Molecule: ribosomal RNA, 253 nt
Filed under: uncultured bacterium
Lineage: Bacteria
Description: partial 16S ribosomal RNA
Rfam family: Bacterial small subunit ribosomal RNA
Source: RNAcentral
UACAGAGGUCCCAAGCGUUGUUCGGAUUCACUGGGCGUAAAGGGUGCGUAGGCGGUCGGGGAAGUCUGAUGUGAAAUCUCACAGCUUAACUGUGAAACUGCAUUGGAUACUAUCCGGCUCGAGGAAUGGAGGGGAGACUGGAAUACUUGGUGUAGCAGUGAAAUGCGUAGAUAUCAAGUGGAACACCAGUGGCGAAGGCGACUCGCUGGACAAGUAUUGACGCUGAGGUGCGAAAGCGUGGGGAGCAAACAGG